AAUCAACGCUGGCGGCGUGCCUAACACAUGCAAGUCGAACGCGAAAGUGGAGCAAUCCAUGAGUAGAGUGGCAAACGGGUGAGUAACACGUGGGUGACCUGCCUUCGAGUGGGGGAUAACGUCCCGAAAGGGACGCUAAUACCGCAUAAUAUGCUGUCUUUUAAGAGAGAGACAUCAAAGCCGGGGACCGUAAGGCCUGGCGCUUGAAGAGGGGCCCGCGCCUGAUUAGCUAGUUGGUGGGGUAAUGGCUCACCAAGGCAACGAUCAGUAUCCGGCCUGAGAGGGCGGACGGACACACUGGGACUGAGACACGGCCCAGACUCCUACGGGAGGCAGCAGUGGGGAAUUGUUCGCAAUGGGCGCAAGCCUGACGUCGCAACGCCGCGUGGAGGAUGAAGAUCUUCGGGUCGUAAACUCCUUUCGAUCGAGACGAAUGGCCCUUGGGCUAACAUCCCGAGGGAGUGACGGUACCGAGAGAAGAAGCCCCGGCUAACUCCGUGCCAG
Molecule: ribosomal RNA, 504 nt
Filed under: uncultured bacterium
Lineage: Bacteria
Description: bacterial SSU rRNA
Rfam family: Bacterial small subunit ribosomal RNA
Source: RNAcentral